CCUACGGGUGGCAGCAGUGAGGAAUAUUGGUCAAUGGCCGGAAGUCUGAACCAGCCAAGUCGCGUGAAGGAUGACUGCCCUAAGGGUUGUAAACUUCUUUUAUCUAGGAAUAAAAUGUUCCACGUGUGGGAUUUUGUAUGUACCAUAUGAAUAAGGAUCGGCUAACUCCGUGCCAGCAGCCGCGGUAAUACGGAGGAUCCGAGCGUUAUCCGGAUUUAUUGGGUUUAAAGGGAGCGUAGGUGGAUUGUUAAGUCAGUUGUGAAAGUUUGCGGCUCAACCGUAAAAGUGCGGUUGAAACUGGCAGUCUUGAGUACAGGAGAGGUAGGCGGAAUGCGUGGUGUAGCGGUGAAAUGCUUAGAUAUUACGAAGAACUCCGAUUGCGAAGGCAGCUCACUGGACUGCAACUGACACUGAGGCUCGAAAGUGUGGGUAUCAAACAGGAUUAGAUACCCCUGUAGUC
This 460-nucleotide ribosomal RNA is filed under the name uncultured bacterium. RNAcentral describes it as "partial 16S ribosomal RNA". It matches the Rfam family "Bacterial small subunit ribosomal RNA", at positions 338 to 795 of the family's 1533-position model. The record is from RNAcentral.